GCCAGGCAUGGUGGCGCAUGCCUGUAGUCCCAGCUACUCGGGAGGCUGAGGCAGGAGAAUCGCUUGAACCUGGGAGGCAGAGGUUGCAGUGAGCCGAGAUCGUGCCACUGCACUCUAGCCUGGGUGACAGAGCAAGACUUUGUCUCAU
Molecule: unclassified non-coding RNA, 148 nt
Organism: Pongo abelii (Sumatran orangutan)
Lineage: Eukaryota; Metazoa; Chordata; Mammalia; Primates; Hominidae
Rfam family: Metazoan signal recognition particle RNA
About the family: The signal recognition particle (SRP) is a universally conserved ribonucleoprotein. It is involved in the co-translational targeting of proteins to membranes. The eukaryotic SRP consists of a 300-nucleotide 7S RNA and six proteins: SRPs 72, 68, 54, 19, 14, and 9.
Source: Ensembl